RNAcentral lists this ribosomal RNA (206 nucleotides) under Peptococcus niger. RNAcentral's name for it is "16S rRNA. Bacterial SSU". It matches the Rfam family "Bacterial small subunit ribosomal RNA", at positions 1 to 187 of the family's 1533-position model. The record is from RNAcentral. Lineage: Bacteria; Bacillati; Bacillota; Clostridia; Eubacteriales; Peptococcaceae.
AUAACACGGAGAGUUUGAUCCUGGCUCAGGACAAACGCUGGCGGCAUGCCUAACACAUGCAAGUCGAACGGACGGAGGAAAGAGAUCUCUUCGGAGUGACCUUUCCCGAGUUAGUGGCGGAUGGGUGAGUAACGCGUGAGUGACCUGCCCAGCAGUGGGGAAUAACAGUGAGAAAUCAUUGCUAAUACCGCAUACCUUACAAGUGC